RNAcentral lists this ribosomal RNA (447 nucleotides) under uncultured bacterium. RNAcentral describes it as "partial 16S ribosomal RNA". It matches the Rfam family "Bacterial small subunit ribosomal RNA", at positions 29 to 507 of the family's 1533-position model. The record is from RNAcentral.
AACGAACGCUGGCGGCAUGCCUAACACAUGCAAGUCGAACGAUGCCUUCGGGCAUAGUGGCGCACGGGUGCGUAACGCGUGGGAAUCUGCCCUUGGCUUCGGAAUAACAGUUAGAAAUGACUGCUAAUACCGGAUGAUGUCCCCCUGAGAGAUCUUGGGGACCAAAGAUUUAUCGGCCAGGGAUGAGCCCGCGUAGGAUUAGGUAGUUGGUGGGGUAAAGGCCUACCAAGCCGACGAUCCUUAGCUGGUCUGAGAGGAGGAUCAGCCACACUGGGACUGAGACACGGCCCAGACUCCUACGGGAGGCAGCAGUGGGGAAUAUUGGACAAUGGGGGGAACCCUGAUCCAGCAAUGCCGCGUGAGUGAUGAAGGCCUUAGAGUUGUAAAGCUCUUUUACCAGGGAUGAUAAUGACAGUACCUGGAGAAUAAGCUCCGGCUAACUCCGUG